UCUAAUAACUCGAAACACACUUAGAAUGACUCAAAAUAAUGAAAACAAUCAAAUUAAACACUAGGAAUUGAAAUGGACGGAAAUCGAAUUGAAAGACUAACAAUAAUGAAAACUAACUAAAUAAUAUAAUUUAAUAAUGGAAGGGUGUUUGGUUUUGACUAGAAGUAAAUUAAACUUAAAUAAAUUACAGAAUUGACAAAAACAUGAAAUUAAGGUGAAAGGAUAAAUGACGGACUAGCUAGAGGGUUCCUCUCCACACAUGACACAUAUGCAACCUAAAUUGAUUUUCAGUUGUUCUUUCAAUAAAUUGUGAAUCUCAAUACUUCAGAUUAACCGUGAACAACACUUUUUUAAUCUUCAAGUUUUCCUUAAGUUAUUGAAUUGGACGGGAAAACGCAUACAACAAUUCAAAACAUUCUUCAAAAGUCCCCUACGUGAAAAGCACAAUAGAGAUACAAUCAAAGAUCAUUAAACUUUGUGAAAACUAUAAGCAUUGACGAGGCAUUCGUAACUAUGAAAAGCAUGAUACUCUUGCCAAGAAUUCACUUAACACGAUUGUGGAUAACAACCUUCACUACUUGUGAAUAUAAGUUCAUAACGAUUAGGUGAAAUUCACUUAUAUUCUAGCAUCAAAUUCAUGCAUGUAAAUUAAGUAUGCAUCCUUAAUCGACAUACAAAAAUAAGUUAUCAAUCAAGCAGUUAAGCAAAUUAAAUCACAACUCAGAAAUCACAACUGAAGAUAAUCAAUUCAUAUUACAAAUAUAUUCAUGAUUUCGAAUUAACCUCUAGCCAAAAUAAAUUAGUUACACAUUAUUAACAAAUUAAACCAAACGUAAAUCAUGAGUUUGAGAAGAUAACACCAAUAAGAACGGAGUGAAGCCCUCUGCCUCUGUGCUCAUCUUCUUCCCUGUGCUUAUUUCUGCGCCUAGCAAGUCCCUGACUUGCCCUCUUUCCAAUUCCCCGUGUCUUACGCUGCUCUCACGCUGCCAAAGGCAGCGUCCUGUCCGUUCUCCACCUAAAGCAGCCUCCCACUUCUCCUUUUAUUCUCCUACUGACCCCUUCUCCAGCUCACGUUUUCUGCCUCCCGUGUGGACUGUGUUCUGUCACUCCCUUUUCCGCUGUCCUUCCUCUCUCUCGUUUCUGCCUUCUCUCACUAGCUGCUAGGCAGCUGUCCUCUCUCUGCUGCCCUCUUUUCUUUCCUUAUUCUUUCCGCUCUGCUUUUUCUUCCCUCCCGCAAGGCAGCUAAGCUGCUUUCAAAUUCACUCGUCUUUUCUUGGUUAGUUCCUUAUAUUUUUGAGCUAUUUACGUUAUUUUUGUGUUUAUAGGAUCUGUUAUGCAAAGAAAAUAAAAAUAGCACAAAUGAGUUUUAAAUAAUAAAAAGAAAAGAAAGAACACGGCAGAGAAAUAAUAUUGGCAGUUAUCCACCACACCAAACUAUGUGUUCUUUAAUAAUUACAAUUAGCUAGCUUAGGAUAUAAUUUUACUUUUGAUAAUGGAAUCAUGAUGAAUCAUUUACUUAAACUAAUAUUGGCAGGACGUUGGAAAAGGUAUGGAUUGAUGGGAGAAUUACUUGACACACAAAUUAAACCCUCUUUUUGACAAUUGUAGUAAAGAUGUAAGUAGGGUAUCGUUCUAGGCCGGGGAUUAGGAGGGAUUGCUAAUCUAUUCUAAAUUAAUUUAAAAAUAUAAACAAGACUCAAGGACAAAAACUAGGCUAAAACUCUAAUAACUCGAAACACACUUAGAAUGACUCAAAAUAAUGAAAACAAUCAAAUUAAACACUAGAAAUUGAAAUGGACGAAAAUUGAAUUAAAAGACUAACAACAAUGAAAACUAACUAAA
Molecule: long non-coding RNA, 1842 nt
Filed under: Malus domestica (apple)
Lineage: Eukaryota; Viridiplantae; Streptophyta; Magnoliopsida; Rosales; Rosaceae
Description: long non-coding RNA (MDOM_LNC018347)
Source: RNAcentral